Molecule: ribosomal RNA, 443 nt
Filed under: uncultured bacterium
Lineage: Bacteria
Description: partial 16S ribosomal RNA
Rfam family: Bacterial small subunit ribosomal RNA
Source: RNAcentral
CCUACGGGUGGCAGCAGUGGGGAAUAUUGGGCAAUGGGCGCAAGCCUGACCCAGCAACGCCGCGUGAAGGAAGAAGGCUUUCGGUUUGUAAACUUCUUUUCUCAGGGACGAAGAAAGUGACGGUACCUUAGGAAUAAGCCACUGCUAACUACGUGCCAGCAGCCGCGGUAAUACGUAGGGGGCAAGCGUUAUCCGGAUUUAUUUGGUGUAAAGGGAGUGUAGGCGGGAAAGCAAGUCAGAUGUGAAAACUCAGGGCUCAACCAGGAGCCUGAAUUUGAAACUGUUUUGCUUGAGUGCUGGAGAGGUAAUCGGAAUGCCGAGUGUAGCGGUGAAAUGCGUAGAUAUUAGGAGGAACACCAGUGGCGAAGGCGGAUUGCUGGACAGUAACUGACGCUGAGGCGCGAAAGCGUGGGGAGCAAACAGGAUUAGAUACCCGGGUAGUC